This 440-nucleotide ribosomal RNA is filed under the name uncultured bacterium. RNAcentral describes it as "partial 16S ribosomal RNA". It matches the Rfam family "Bacterial small subunit ribosomal RNA", at positions 338 to 795 of the family's 1533-position model. The record is from RNAcentral.
CCUACGGGAGGCAGCAGUGGGGAAUAUUGCACAAUGGGGGAAACCCUGAUGCAGCGACGCCGCGUGAGUGAAGAAGUAUUUCGGUAUGUAACGCUCUAUCAGCAGGGAAGAAAAUGACGGUACCUGAUUAAGAAGCCCCGGCUAACUACGUGCCAGCAGCCGCGGUAAUACGUAGGGGGCAAGCGUUAUCCGGAUUUACUGGGUGUAAAGGGGGCGUAGACGGCAGCACAAGUCUGGAGUGAAAUGCCGGGGCUUAACCCCGGAACUGCUUUGGAAACUGUGCAUCUAGAGUGCAGGAGAGGUAAGUGGAAUUCCUAGUGUAGCGGUGAAAUGCGUAGAUAUUAGGAGGAACACCAGUGGCGAAGGCGGCUUACUGGACUGUAACUGACGUUGAGGCUCGAAAGCGUGGGGAGCAAACAGGAUUAGAUACCCCUGUAGUC